Uranotaenia lowii is the source of this 1133-nucleotide long non-coding RNA. RefSeq lists it as uncharacterized. The record is from RefSeq and is a predicted model, not a curated record. Lineage: Eukaryota; Metazoa; Arthropoda; Insecta; Diptera; Culicidae. The transcript is spliced from 3 exons.
UUCUCGAUCGGAUGGUGUGGUAUUUUGUGCGUGAGUUUUUCCCUACUUUAUAAGUUCUGGGCUUUCCGAGUGAUAGCUUUGCAUUGCAAUUAUCGUUUAAAAGGAUAACUAUCGGUUCUUGUUAGGUUGGAAUAUUGCGUAGAAAGUAAUUCAUUAAAUAGUGCGGUUAAAGCCAGUGGUUGUUCACUUAUAUACGCCUUCAUUAAUGUUCGGGUGCCGUAAAAUGCGGUGCUUCCAUAGCUUGGCGUGGGUUUUCUAAUGGUGAAAUUAGUGAUUCCCGAGUGAAAACUCUCUGCCGCGUUUGCAGUAUUUUCAGUAGGGUUCAAAAAGACGUUAGGGCGGCUUUUUAGUGAAAUUUGUAUAGAAAUCGUCGAUGUAGCUUCUAGAAGUGGUAAAAACGCCUUCUACGCUUGGGUUUGAUGGCAUGGGAAAAACGUGCUUUUUUUUCGUCCAAGUUGCCUCGCCUCGUUUUUGGCUGACCAGCGGAAACUGACAAAAUGGUGCGCUUUUUCGCAGUAUAUUCUUGUGGCUUUGUGUUUAAAAUGAAAUCAAAUCACAGGAGUAUACUGUGAGAGAUCGUCGGGACCUUCUCAGCUGGUUAAUCAGGAUUAAAAUGCCGUAAAAGACUCGCAGCACAACAGAUACCAAGCCGUCGGGGCCACGACUUGCGCCGGAUGUGACAUCCAGCUGUCUUAUAUGUACAUCCAGCAGCCUGCUUCUUCUUUGUCGUCAUAUCGCCCAUUCAUUGAUCGAGAAUGUGGAAUGGCUAGAUGGAUGGAUUGGAUGAUGGGUGGAUGAGCCAUCAACACACAAACACAUCCAAAACAACAAUCCGGUUCAGGUAGUCGCCGUUGAAUUUUUCCUUCCCCCUGGCCUACUGCUGGCUGAUGGAAGAACGCAAUGGGAAAACAACAAAGUACAAGAAGCGGAAGACGAUGAAAACGUCACAUUACCCAGAUGAGAACACGUGUUGUGUGAGAAAAGGGAAAAUGGCGGGAUUUUCUGGAAUCUCAAUCGGACUGAUAGUACUGAAAGUCGCACUACUAGCUGAUAAGCUUAUUGAUUCGCGAGUAUAUCGUACGAUAAAGGCGCUAAAUCGGGUUCGAUGUUUUCGGCGAAUAAAAAAAAAAUCA